RNAcentral lists this ribosomal RNA (763 nucleotides) under Phyllosticta philoprina. Its description in RNAcentral is "eukaryotic LSU rRNA". It matches the Rfam family "Eukaryotic large subunit ribosomal RNA", at positions 87 to 866 of the family's 3401-position model. The record is from RNAcentral. Lineage: Eukaryota; Fungi; Ascomycota; Dothideomycetes; Botryosphaeriales; Phyllostictaceae.
CGGCGAGUGAAGCGGCAAUAGCUCAAAUUUGAAAGCUGGCACCUUCGGUGUCCGCGUUGUAAUUUGUAGAGGAUGCUUCGGCGAGGACUCCUGCCUAAGUCCCCUGGAACGGGGCGUCACAGAGGGUGAGAAUCCCGUAUGUGGCGGGCGGUCCAAGCCAUGUGAAGCUCCUUCGACGAGUCGAGUUGUUUGGGAAUGCAGCUCUAAAUGGGAGGUAAAUUUCUUCUAAAGCUAAAUAUUGGCCAGAGACCGAUAGCGCACAAGUAGAGUGAUCGAAAGAUGAAAAGCACUUUGGAAAGAGAGUUAAAAAGUACGUGAAAUUGUUGAAAGGGAAGCGCUUGCAACCAGACUCGCUCGCAGUUGCUCAGCCGGCCUCUUGGCCGGUGUACUCUUCUGCGAUCGGGCCAGCAUCAGUUCGGGCGGCCGGAUAAAGGUGUCGGGAAUGUAGCACCCUUCGGGGUGUGUUAUAGCCCGGCGCGGAAUGCGGCCAGCCUGGACUGAGGAUCUCGCUUCGGCAAGGAUGCUGGCGUAAUGGUUGUAAGCGGCCCGUCUUGAAACACGGACCAAGGAGUCUAACAUCUAUGCGAGUGUUUGGGUGUCAAACCCAUGCGCGUAAUGAAAGUGAACGGAGGUGGGAACCCCUCACGGGGUGCACCAUCGACCGAUCCUGAUGUCUUCGGAUGGAUUUGAGUAAGAGCAUAGCUGUUGGGACCCGAAAGAUGGUGAACUAUGCCUGAAUAGGGUGAAGCCAGAGGAAACUCUG